Molecule: ribosomal RNA, 487 nt
Filed under: uncultured soil bacterium
Lineage: Bacteria
Description: bacterial SSU rRNA
Rfam family: Bacterial small subunit ribosomal RNA
Source: RNAcentral
AGAUUGAACGCUGGCGGCAUGCCUUACACAUGCAAGUCGAACGGCAGCACGGGAGCAAUCCCGGUGGCGAGUGGCGAACGGGUGAGUAAUACAUCGGAACGUGCCCAAUCGUGGGGGAUAACGCAGCGAAAGCUGUGCUAAUACCGCAUAAGAUCUACGGAUGAAAGCAGGGGAUCGCAAGACCUUGCGCGAAUGGAGCGGCCGAUGGCAGAUUAGGUAGUUGGUGAGGUAAAGGCUCACAAGCCUUCGAUCUGUAGCUGGUCUGAGAGGACGACCAGCCACACUGGGACUGAGACACGGCCAGACUCCUACGGGAGGCAGCAGUGGGAAUUUUGGACAAGUGGGCGAAAGCCUAGAUCCAGCCAUGCCGCGUGCAGGAGUGAAGGUCCUUCGGGUUAGUAACGUUCGUCGUUUUGUAACGGUAACGUAAAAGUUCCUACUUUACUAAAGUUAAGAAGGUAUCUAAGUGUAACGGUACCGUAAGAAC